UUGCUCACUUCGGCAGCACAUAUACUAAAAUUGAAACGAUACAGAGAAGGUUAGCAUGGCCCCUGUGCCAGGAUGACACGCAAAUUCGUGAAACAUUCCAUAUUUUU
This 107-nucleotide small nuclear RNA is filed under the name Macaca fascicularis (crab-eating macaque). Lineage: Eukaryota; Metazoa; Chordata; Mammalia; Primates; Cercopithecidae. The record is from RNAcentral.